AAGACUUUGCCUCUGAUCACCAUCAAAGAUGCCCUGAUUGUGAAGUAACUUGUCUCAAGUCCUUGGAAUCGUAGUUGCAGUGCUUCUUCCAAUCCAUCCUGCCACUCAUAGGACAAAUAGCAGGAUUUCGUUAUCUACCACAUGAACGAUAACAGCAAUGCCAUUGAACAAGAUGCGAAGCUCUGGCUAAGACUUCUAGAACAGAGUUGAAUGGAAACAGUAAUGGUGGUAUCCUUGUCAUGUUCCUGACUUUAAACAGAAUGUUUCUAAUGUUUCAUUACGUAUGAUAUUUGUGGUAACUUUUUGAUAAAUACUCUUUAUCACUUGAAGAAAUUUUCCUUCUGUUCCUAAUUGCUAAAAUUAGGUUAUUUUCAUUAUUGAAAAUCAUAAAUUUUAUUG
This is a non-coding RNA of Kogia breviceps (pygmy sperm whale), 399 nucleotides long. Lineage: Eukaryota; Metazoa; Chordata; Mammalia; Artiodactyla; Physeteridae. The record is from RefSeq and is a predicted model, not a curated record.